GGAGAAUUCUGGUGGUUAUAUUUAGUCCUCUUGUGACCAGGAGUCAGGCAUUCCUGAUAUAGGACGGCAGAAUUCCCAUCACACAACACAUACAAACACAACACACACACAUUCUGUCUGAGAGGGUUCUCUGAGCUGGUGGGCCUGGUAAGGGGGCAGGUGAUUCAGGAUUAUCGUCCCAGGAUUCUUGGAAGCAGAAGGGGCAUCGCCUUUUGGGGGGCUUUUAGACACGACUAGACUUACAGUUUAAUAUUAGACAUUUAAUUCAAUGUAUGGAAACAAACCUAUGGCAUUAACAUUGUAAUGUGCAUUCCUGUGUGUGUGUGUGUUUGCGUGCCUCCUCCCAGGGUUCAACUCCAACAUCAACCUGCCAGGUAGAGAGGAGCACCCAGGCUCCACCCCCACCUCCUCGUCUCCGCAGCUACAGGACAAGAACGCCAACAACCACGCCACCCCCUCCCCAAGCCCCACCCCCAUUGAAAACGGCAACAGGCUGUCCAACGGGUCAAUGGAAGAUGAGGGUCACACCAAGUCAAACUCUUCCAGCUCAUCGUCUCUGCACAGGCAUAUGGACAGCCAUCACACUCAGAGGGGUCAUCUCAACUUCUCGCCCUUCGGUGCGGGGGCUGCACUCUAAGGCAUGGCGGGCGCGGGAGCACCCCUCACAUUAGGGACGGGGUGAGUGUGGUUGACCGUAUC
This 699-nucleotide long non-coding RNA is filed under the name Salmo salar (Atlantic salmon). RNAcentral's name for it is "lncRNA (ENSSSAG00000114197.1)". The record is from RNAcentral. Lineage: Eukaryota; Metazoa; Chordata; Actinopteri; Salmoniformes; Salmonidae.